UACGGAGGGUGCAAGCGUUGUUCGGAAUCACUGGGCGUAAAGGGCGUGUAGGCGGUCCGCUAAGUCUGAUGUGAAAGCCCGGGGCUCACCCCCGGAAGGGCAUUGGAAACUGGCGGACUCGAGUCCCGGAGAGGAAGGUGGAAUUCCUGGUGUAGCGGUGAAAUGCGCAGAUAUCAGGAGGAACACCAAUGGCGAAGGCAGCUCGCUGGGACGUGACUGACGCUGAGACGCGAAAGCGUGGGGAGCAAACAGG
RNAcentral lists this ribosomal RNA (253 nucleotides) under uncultured bacterium. RNAcentral's name for it is "partial 16S ribosomal RNA". It matches the Rfam family "Bacterial small subunit ribosomal RNA", at positions 524 to 776 of the family's 1533-position model. The record is from RNAcentral.